RNAcentral lists this ribosomal RNA (253 nucleotides) under uncultured bacterium. Its description in RNAcentral is "partial 16S ribosomal RNA". It matches the Rfam family "Bacterial small subunit ribosomal RNA", at positions 524 to 776 of the family's 1533-position model. The record is from RNAcentral.
UACGAAGGGGGCUAGCGUUGCUCGGAAUCACUGGGCGUAAAGCGCACGUAGGCGGCUUUUUAAGUCAGGGGUGAAAUCCUGGAGCUCAACUCCAGAACUGCCUUUGAUACUGAGAAGCUUGAGUCCGGGAGAGGUGAGUGGAACUGCGAGUGUAGAGGUGAAAUUCGUAGAUAUUCGCAAGAACACCAGUGGCGAAGGCGGCUCACUGGCCCGGUACUGACGCUGAGGUGCGAAAGCGUGGGGAGCAAACAAG